RNAcentral lists this ribosomal RNA (1715 nucleotides) under uncultured soil eukaryote. RNAcentral describes it as "SSU rRNA". It matches the Rfam family "Eukaryotic small subunit ribosomal RNA". The record is from RNAcentral.
UAAAUAUUUUAUUCGUGAACCUGCAAAUAGCUCAUUAAAUCAGUUAUAAUCUACUCGAUCAUAUCCUUACUUGGAUAACCGUAGUAAUUCUAGGGCUAAUACAUGAGUACGUAUUGGAAUCUAAAACCAAUACAAGGUAUCUAAACUGUAGUUUAUUUCACGAUUUGCUACGGGCUUUGUUUUGUUUGAUGACACACGAUAAAUUUACAAAUCACGAAUAUCUUUUCGUGAUGAUUUGAACGAGUUUCUGCCCUAUCAACUUUCGAUGGUAAGGUAUUUGCUUACCAUGGUUUUGACGGGUACGGGGAAUUUGGGUUUGAUUCCGGAGAAAAGGCCUGAGAGACGGCCAUUACUUCCAAGGAAGGCAGCAGGCGCGUAAUUUGCCCAAUGUCAAUUCGACGAGGCAGUGACGAGAAAUACCGAUAUUGGUUCCUACGGAAACAAUUAUUGGAAUGAGAACAAUUUAAACACAUUAGCGACUAACUAUUGGAGGGCAAGUCUGGUGCCAGCAGCCGCGGUAAUUCCAGCUCCAAGAGCGUAUAUUAAAAUUGUUGUGGUUAAAAAGCUCGUAGUUGUAUUUCGGAAAAUGGAUGUGAAUCACUAGAAUUCUAGUGGUUUCAUCUUUUUCUAUCUUUUUGUAUGGUUGAAAGACUGUGCAAAUAGUUUACUUUGAAAAAAUUAGAGUGUUCAAAGCAGGCUUUAUGCCAAUUGAAUAUUUUAGCAUGGGAUAAUGAAAUAAGACUUUAGCCUUAUUUUGUUGGUUUAUUUGGCUAUUGUAAUGAUUGAUAGGGACAGUUGGGGUCACUUGUAUUGGGCCGGGAGGGGUGAAAUCUUAUGAUCGGCUCAGGACAAACUACAGCGAAAGCAUUUGACAAGGAUGUUUUCAUUAAUCAAGAACGAGAGUUGAGGGAUCGAAGAUGAUCAGAUACCGUCGUAGUCUCAACUGUAAACGAUGUCGACUCAGGAUUGGGAGAUAUUACAUGGAUGAUUCUUCCAGCACUGAAUGAGAAAUCAAAGUAUCUAGACUCCAGGGGGAGUAUGGUCGCAAGGCUGAAACUUAAAGGAAUUGACGGAAGGCCACCACCAGGAGUGGAAUCUGCGGCUUAAUUUGACCCAACACGGGGAAACUUACCGGGUCCGGACACUACGAGGAUUGACAGAUUGAGAGCUCUUUCUUGAUUUAGUGAUUGGUGGUGCAUGGCCGUUUUUAGUUGGUGGAUUGAUUUGUCUGGUUAAUUCCGAAAACGAACGAGAUCUUAACCAUUAAAUAGUGACGUUAAUAUGGUCGAAAGGCCAAAUAUUUGACAUUGAAACUUCUUAGAGGGACUAUUUGCAUUUUAGUGAAUGGAAGUUUGAGGCAAAAACAGGUCUGUGAUGCCCUUCGAUGUUCCGGGCUGCACGCGCGUUACACUGAUAUGUUCAAUAAGUUCUUCCUUUUCCUAACGGAAGGGGUAAUCUUCGAAAAGCAUAUCGUGCUUGGGAUAGUGACUUGUAAUUAUUUCACUUGAACGAGGAAUUCCUAGUAGGGGUAGUUCAUCAAACUGCCCUGAAUAUGUCCCUGGCCUUUGUACACACCGCCCGUCGCUCCUACCGAUUGAAUAACCCGAUGAGGAUUCAGGAUAGGGUGAACUUUUAGAUGUCUGAAAGGAUAUUGGGUUCAUCUUAGAAUUUAUUCAAAUCUUAUUAUUUAGAGGAAGGAGAAGUCGUAACAAGGU